Molecule: unclassified non-coding RNA, 365 nt
Filed under: Hevea brasiliensis (rubber tree)
Lineage: Eukaryota; Viridiplantae; Streptophyta; Magnoliopsida; Malpighiales; Euphorbiaceae
Source: RNAcentral
ACUGGUGGUCCAGCUGCCAUGAUGAGGUACUGGAAUGACAGAGAUGUCUUGAAAAAAUUGGGCGAAGCAAUGGGUUUUGCAGUUUAUGGAGAUGCUGCCAAUGCUGAAAGUUCUGCUGCAGAUGAUUCAGAAGAAAUAGGGAAUGAUGAUGAAUCUGUAGUUCAUCAAACUGCUAGUGUCGGUGAUGCUGAGGGCUUAAAAACUGCACUGGCAGCUGGUGCAAACAAAGACGAAGAAGAUUCAGAGGGAAGGACCGCAUUGCAUUUUGCAUGUGGGUAUGGCGAGGCGAAAUGCGCUCAGAUCCUUCUCGAAGCUGGAGUGAAGGUGGAUGCACUGGAUAAGAAUAAGAACACUGCACUUCAUUA